GGCCGAGCUUUUGUCCACAAUAUGUAGUAUGAUAAAAAUUUUACGGGUUCAUUCAAAUUUAUUUACUUCUAGUGUAGAUUAUUUUUUUUUUUCUGCAUGAAUAAUUUAGCUUUUAAAUAUUUAGAUAGCUUUUGUCCCUCAUGCACUACCACGGUGAAUGCACAUAUUUCUUAUUCAAACAAAUAUAUUUCUAAUAUUGAAUAUUCAUAUUUGUUGAGAGAU
This 222-nucleotide long non-coding RNA is filed under the name Elaeis guineensis (African oil palm). RNAcentral describes it as "long non-coding RNA (EGUI_LNC000276)". The record is from RNAcentral. Lineage: Eukaryota; Viridiplantae; Streptophyta; Magnoliopsida; Arecales; Arecaceae.